CCUACGGGAGGCAGCAGUGAGGAAUAUUGGUCAAUGGACGAGAGUCUGAACCAGCCACGUCGCGUGAAGGAUGACUGCCCUAUGGGUUGUAAACUUCUUUUAUAUGGGAAUAAAAUGUUCCACGUGUGGGAUUUUGUAUGUACCAUAUGAAUAAGGAUCGGCUAACUCCGUGCCAGCAGCGGCGGUAAUACGGAGGAUCCGAGCGUUAUCCGGAUUUAUUGGGUUUAAAGGGAGCGUAGGUGGAUUGUUAAGUCAGUUGUGAAAGUUUGCGGCUCAACCGUAAAAUUGCAGUUGAAACUGGCAGUCUUGAGUACAGUAGAGGUGGGCGGAAUUCGUGGUGUAGCGGUGGAAUGCUUAGAUAUCACGAAGAACUCCGAUUGCGAAGGCAGCUCACUGGACUGCAACUGACACUGAGGCUCGAAAGUGUGGGUAUCAAACAGGAUUAGAUACCCGGGUAGUC
RNAcentral lists this ribosomal RNA (460 nucleotides) under uncultured bacterium. RNAcentral's name for it is "partial 16S ribosomal RNA". It matches the Rfam family "Bacterial small subunit ribosomal RNA", at positions 338 to 795 of the family's 1533-position model. The record is from RNAcentral.